GACGAACGCUGGCGGCGUGCUUAACACAUGCAAGUCGAACGGAAAGGCCCUGCUUGCAGGGUACUCGAGUGGCAAACGGGUGAGUAACACGUGGGUGAUCUGCCCUGCACUUCGGGAUAAGCCUGGGAAACUGGGUCUAAUACCGGAUAGGAGCCAUUUUUAGUGUGAUGGUUGGAAAGUUUUUUCGGUGUAGGAUGAGCUCGCGGCCUAUCAGCUUGUUGGUGGGGUAAUGGCCUACCAAGGCGGCGACGGGUAGCCGGCCUGAGAGGUGGACGGCCACAUUGGGACUGAGAUACGGCCCAGACUCCUACGGGAGGCAGCAGUGGGGAAUAUUGCACAAUGGGCGCAAGCCUGAUGCAGCGACGCCGCGUGGGGGAUGACGGCCUUCGGGUUGUAAACUCCUUUCGCUAGGGACGAAGCUUUUUGUGACGGUACCUAGAUAAGAAGCACCGGCUAACUACGUG
This 464-nucleotide ribosomal RNA is filed under the name uncultured bacterium. Its description in RNAcentral is "partial 16S ribosomal RNA". It matches the Rfam family "Bacterial small subunit ribosomal RNA", at positions 28 to 507 of the family's 1533-position model. The record is from RNAcentral.